GUUGGCUUAACCUUGACCUCCGAUAGUUUUCUUAUGCACUGUAAUGGUGUGCAUCAGAUGUUGCACCAUGUGACUUUCCUUUGACAUAUAAAAAUGUGAUACUGACUCUUCUUCCUUUCCCGAUUACAAUAAUGUCAUUUGAAGUCAGAGCAGAUUAAAUGGUGGAAGUUGAAAAGGAAGAAUUUUGCACUGAAGAAGUCGGGACAGACUCUGAGUGAAAGAGAAAAGUUAGCAGGUAAUAGAGAAAGUGCAGCCGAAUAGCUGAGAGAAACUGCUAUGAAGGUGUUUGGUGUAUCCACUGGAUGGAGAAAACAGGACAAGGAGACCCAGUGGUGAAAUGAAGAAGUGAAGGAAAGUUUUCAAAUGAUGAGAGAGAGAUGGAUGUGCACGAGACCAUUGCUGAUUUUCACCGCUGAGGUUAUUGCUGGAAAACAACUAUAAACUUGAUAAAUUGAGCAAAUAUCCAUACCAGAGACCUGCAAGGACCUUGGAGAAACGGACCUGAUUUAUUGUGAACAUUUUGGACUUUGGAACCAUCGCGCUCUGCACGGGUGCGGAUGAAGUGGACAAGAUCCUCUCUAAGAGUUGAACAUUAGAAGCUUGCUGGUGAGUUAAACUGGGACUGAGCGAAUCAGGCUAAUUGAAAAGCUAAUUAGCCUAAUGCUCAUAGCUGUAGCUGUAGCCGACCACGUUUUCACUGUAGGAGAACACAUGGGGUUUCUCACGGAGUUCAGCUUCUCUGAGCACUCAGCUUGUGCGCUGAUGAUGUUUUAGUAUUACCUGUUGAAUAUUAAAUGCACUAAAAUAAGAUGAUGGCAUGAAGU
This is a long non-coding RNA of Oreochromis niloticus (Nile tilapia), 824 nucleotides long. RefSeq lists it as uncharacterized. The record is from RefSeq and is a predicted model, not a curated record. Lineage: Eukaryota; Metazoa; Chordata; Actinopteri; Cichliformes; Cichlidae. The transcript is spliced from 3 exons.